RNAcentral lists this ribosomal RNA (656 nucleotides) under Salmonella enterica. RNAcentral describes it as "partial 23S ribosomal RNA". It matches the Rfam family "Bacterial large subunit ribosomal RNA", at positions 744 to 1312 of the family's 2925-position model. Lineage: Bacteria; Pseudomonadati; Pseudomonadota; Gammaproteobacteria; Enterobacterales; Enterobacteriaceae. The record is from RNAcentral.
GUUGAAGGUUGGGUAACACUAACUGGAGGACCGAACCGACUAAUGUUGAAAAAUUAGCGGAUGACCUGUGGCUGGGGGUGAAAGGCCAAUCAAACCGGGAGAUAGCUGGUUCUCCCCGAAAGCUAUUUAGGUAGCGCCUCGUGAAUUCAUCUCCGGGGGUAGAGCACUGUUUCGGCUAGGGGGCCAUCCCGGCUUACCAACCCGAUGCAAACUGCGAAUACCGGAGAAUGUUAUCACGGGAGACACACGGCGGGUGCUAACGUCCGUCGUGAAGAGGGAAACAACCCAGACCGCCAGCUAAGGUCCCAAAGUCAUGGUUAAGUGGGAAACGAUGUGGGAAGGCCCAGACAGCCAGGAUGUUGGCUUAGAAGCAGCCAUCAUUUAAAGAAAGCGUAAUAGCUCACUGGUCGAGUCGGCCUGCGCGGAAGAUGUAACGGGGCUAAACCAUGCACCGAAGCUGCGGCAGCGAACGUAUCACCCAAGACAACUUUACGGAGUUGACGAUUGACGGAGCGAAGCGACGUCAAAGCGUUCAUUAAAGUCGAGUUGGCUUAGGGAUACGUUCGUUGGGUAGGGGAGCGUUCUGUAAGCCUGUGAAGGUGUGUCGUGAGGCAUGCUGGAGGUAUCAGAAGUGCGAAUGCUGACAUAAGUAACGA